This 352-nucleotide transfer-messenger RNA is filed under the name Patescibacteria group. Its description in RNAcentral is "WO2-39-10b sp001792215 Standard tmRNA". It matches the Rfam family "transfer-messenger RNA". Rfam says of the family: Bacterial tmRNA, also known as 10Sa RNA or SsrA, is named for its dual tRNA and mRNA-like properties. Its role is to liberate the mRNA from a stalled ribosome. The record is from RNAcentral. RNAcentral also lists the same sequence under 2 other names.
GGGGAUGUAAAGGUUUCGACGGAAAGCGUACUUUAAAAACUGCAAGCCGAGUUUGACUAAAACUUGUAAAAAGAGUCAAAAAAAUAAAAGCUAACAAAAGUUAUACUCCUGUUUACGCAAACGCUUAAACAGCAUCUGUUGAUUUGAUUCUCAACCGAAUCAGAUAGGUGUAAACCAGUUGAGGUGCGGCUAGUUGCUUUUGACUUAAAGUAUCUUGCUUAAGAAAGUUAAGUCUUACUCUAGAUUUUUUGGUUAAUUUUUUAGUCUGGAGGAAAUUUUAAAGAUAACUAAGCUUGUAGAAGUUUUUAGGUAACUUUUUCGGACGCGGGUUCGACUCCCGCCGUCUCCACAG